UGCUAUCUUCAGUUGCUGAUGAAAUGCAUCACAAAUUCCCAACUAAGUUAUUCGAAGGAGUGGAUUGAGCUUGGUUGAAGGCUCAAGUAUCAUUAUUGGGCUACUUUCCAAAGAAUGGAUAGAAAAAUGUGAUAGAGGAUGUCAUCAAUUGUAUGUUGGAGGAGUAUGGGAGCCUUAAAGCUCUCUAAGUGGUCGAUGG
This 199-nucleotide long non-coding RNA is filed under the name Elaeis guineensis (African oil palm). Its description in RNAcentral is "long non-coding RNA (EGUI_LNC032009)". Lineage: Eukaryota; Viridiplantae; Streptophyta; Magnoliopsida; Arecales; Arecaceae. The record is from RNAcentral.